UGCAAGUCGCACGAGAAAGGGGCUUCGGCUCUGAGUAAAGUGGCGCACGGGUGAGUAACACGUGACUAAUCUACCCUCGAGUGGGGAAUAACUGAGAGAAAUCUUAGCUAAUACCGCAUAACACUUACGAGUCAAAGCAGCAAUGCGCUUGGGGAGGAGGUCGCGGCCGAUUAGCUAGUUGGCGGGGUAAUGGCCCACCAAGGCGAUGAUCGGUAUCCGGCCUGAGAGGGCGCACGGACACACUGGAACUGAAACACGGUCCAGACUCCUACGGGAGGCAGCAGUGGGGAAUUUUGCGCAAUGGGGGAAACCCUGACGCAGCAACGCCGCGUGGAGGGUGAAAUAUCUUGGUAUGUAAACUCCUUCCGAUGGGGAAGAUUAUGACGGUACCCAUAGAAGAAGCCCCGGCUAACUUCGUGCCAGCAGCCGCGGUAAUACGAGGGGGGCAAGCGUUGUUCGGAUUUAUUGGGCGUAAAGGGUGCGUAGGCGGUUUGGCAAGUCUUAUGUGAAAUCUAUGGGCUCAACCCAUAGUCUGCAUAAGAAACUGCCGGGCUUGAGUAUGGGAGAGGUGAGUGGAAUUUCCGGUGUAGCGGUGAAAUGCGUAGAUAUCGGAAGGAACACCUGUGGCGAAAGCGGCUCACUGGACCAUAACUGACGCUGAGGCACGAAAG
Molecule: ribosomal RNA, 671 nt
Filed under: uncultured Fibrobacteres/Acidobacteria group bacterium
Lineage: Bacteria; Pseudomonadati
Description: bacterial SSU rRNA
Rfam family: Bacterial small subunit ribosomal RNA
Source: RNAcentral